Molecule: ribosomal RNA, 1480 nt
Filed under: uncultured prokaryote
Description: partial 16S ribosomal RNA
Rfam family: Bacterial small subunit ribosomal RNA
Source: RNAcentral
GCGUGCUUAAUACAUGCAAGUCGAACGAGAAAGCACCUUCGGGUGUGAGUAAAGUGGCAAACGGGUGAGUAAUACUUAGGUAAUCUGCCCCUUGGCGGGGGACAACUUUUCGAAAGGAGAGCUAAUACCGCAUAAGACCACAGCUUCUACGGAAGCAGCGGUCAAAGAUGGCCUCUACUUGUAAGCUAUCACCAGGGGAUGAGCCUAAGCAGCAUUAGCUUGUUGGUGGGGUAACGGCCUACCAAGGCGACGAUGUUUAGCUGAUCUGAGAGGUUGAUCAGCCACACUGGAACUGAGACACGGUCCAGACUCCUACGGGAGGCAGCAGUAGGGAAUAUUGCGCAAUGGAGGAAACUCUGACGCAGCGACGCCGCGUGGGUGAUGAAGGCUUUCGGGUCGUAAAACCCUGUCGGGUGGAAAGAAAAACGGUAUGGCUAAUAUCCAUACCGCUUGACGGUACCACCAAAGGAAGCACCGGCUAACUACGUGCCAGCAGCCGCGGUAAUACGUAGGGUGCAAGCGUUGUUCGGAAUUAUUGGGCGUAAAGCGCGUGUAGGUGGCUAUGCAAGUCGGAUGUGAAAUCCCUGGGCUCAACCGAGGAAGUGCAUCCGAAACUACAUAGCUAGAGAUUGGUAGAGGGAGGUGGAAUUCCUAGUGUAGAGGUGAAAUUCGUAGAUAUUAGGAGGAAUACCGGUGGCGAAGGCGGCCUCCUGGACCAUUCCUGACACUGAGACGCGAAAGCGUGGGUAGCAAACAGGAUUAGAUACCCUGGUAGUCCACGCCGUAAACGAUGGGUACUAGAUGUUGCGGGUAUUGACCCCUGCAGUGUCGAAGCUAACGCACUAAGUACCCCGCCUGGGAAGUACGGUCGCAAGAUUAAAACUCAAAGGAAUUGACGGGGGCCCGCACAAGCGGUGGAGCAUGUGGUUUAAUUCGAUGCUACGCGAAAAACCUUACCUGGUCUUGACAUCCCCGGACCGCCCUAGAGAUAGGGUUUUCUCUUCGGAGACCGGGUGAUAGGUGCUGCAUGGCUGUCGUCAGCUCGUAUCGUGAGAUGUCGGGUUAAGUCCCUUAACGAGCGCAACCCUUAUCCCUAGUUGCUACCAUUCAGUUGGGCACUCUAUGGAGACUGCCGGUGUUAAACCGGAGGAAGGUGGGGAUGACGUCAAGUCCUCAUGGCCCUUAUGUCCAGGGCUACACACGUGCUACAAUGGCCGGUACAGAGGGUCGCCAACCCGCGAGGGGGAGCUAAUCUCACAAAACCGGUCUCAGUCCGAAUUGGAGUCUGCAAUUCGACUCCAUGAAGCUGGAAUCGCUAGUAAUCGCAGAUCAGCAGGCUGCGGUGAAUACGUUCCCGGGCCUUGUACACACCGCCCGUCACACCACGAAAGUUGAUUGUACCAGAAGUCGUCGUACCAACCUUCGGGAGGAAGACGCCCAAGGUGCGGCCGGUGAUUGGGGUGAAGUCGUAACAAGGUAU